RNAcentral lists this ribosomal RNA (258 nucleotides) under uncultured Leptotrichia sp. RNAcentral describes it as "partial 16S ribosomal RNA". It matches the Rfam family "Bacterial small subunit ribosomal RNA", at positions 97 to 355 of the family's 1533-position model. Lineage: Bacteria; Fusobacteriati; Fusobacteriota; Fusobacteriia; Fusobacteriales; Leptotrichiaceae. The record is from RNAcentral.
GGCGGACGGGUGAGUAACGCGUAAAGAACUUGCCCUUUAGACUGGGAUAACAGAGGGAAACUUCUGAUAAUACUGGAUAAGUUAGUAUAUCGCAUGAUAUGCAAAUGAAAGCUACGGCACUAAAGGAGAGCUUUGCGUCCUAUUAGCUAGUUGGUAAGGUAAGAGCUUACCAAGGCGACGAUAGGUAGCCGGCCUGAGAGGGUGGACGGCCACAAGGGGACUGAGAUACGGCCCUUACUCCUACGGGAGGCAGCAGCC